Molecule: ribosomal RNA, 492 nt
Filed under: uncultured bacterium
Lineage: Bacteria
Description: partial 16S ribosomal RNA
Rfam family: Bacterial small subunit ribosomal RNA
Source: RNAcentral
AGUGAACGCUGGCGGUAGGCCUAACACAUGCAAGUCGAACGGCAGCACAGUAAGAGCUUGCUCUUACGGGUGGCGAGUGGCGGACGGGUGAGGAAUACAUCGGAAUCUACUUUUUCGUGGGGGAUAACGUAGGGAAACUUACGCUAAUACCUCAUACGACCUACGGGUUAAAGCAGGGGAUCUUCGGACCUUGCCCGAUUGAAUGAGCCGAUGUCGGAUUAGCUAGUUGGCGGGGUAAAGGCCCACCAAGGCGACGAUCCGUAGCUGGUCUGAGAGGAUGAUCAGCCACACUGGAACUGAGACACGGUCCAGACUCCUACGGGAGGCAGCAGUGGGGAAUAUUGGACAAUGGGCGCAAGCCUGAUCCAGCCAUACCGCGUGAGUGAAGAAGGCCUUCGGGUUGUAAAGCCCUUUUGUUGGGGAAGAAAAGCAGCAGGUUAAUACCCGGCUGUUCUGACGGUACCCAAAGAAUAAGCACCGGCUAACUUCGUG